GAUGAAGAACGUAGCGAAAUGCGAUAAGUAAUGUGAAUUGCAGAAUUCAGUGAAUCAUCGAAUCUUUGAACGCACAUUGCGCCCCUUGGUAUUCCGAGGGGCAUGCCUGUUCGAGCGUCAUUAUAACCCUCAAGCUCAGCUUGGUGUUGGGGCCUGCUGCACUGGCAGCCCUUAAAAUCAGUGGCGGCGCCAUCUGGCUCUAAGCGUAGUAAUUCUUCUCGCUAUGGAGUCCUGGUGGAUGCUUGCCAUCAACCCCCAAUUUCUCUAUGGUUGACCUCGGAUCAGGUAGGGAUACCCGCUGAACUUAAGCAUAUCAAUAAGCGGAGGA
Molecule: unclassified non-coding RNA, 328 nt
Filed under: soil metagenome
Description: partial contains 5.8S ribosomal RNA, internal transcribed spacer 2, and large subunit ribosomal RNA
Rfam family: 5.8S ribosomal RNA (bases 1-120)
Source: RNAcentral